Gallus gallus (chicken) is the source of this 4537-nucleotide RNA transcript. RefSeq lists it as uncharacterized. Lineage: Eukaryota; Metazoa; Chordata; Aves; Galliformes; Phasianidae. The transcript is spliced from 3 exons. The record is from RefSeq and is a predicted model, not a curated record.
GACCGGCAUGGCGGCCGCCUCGGCGCUGCCGGCCCGGGCCCGGCGUACGGGGAGCGGCGCGGUUACCCUCGUGAGGCCGGCUCGGGACGGGACGGGCCCGGCCGGCGGGCCGCCUCGGUACUCGCAGGUCAGCGGCGGGGGAGCGCCUUCCCUGUGCUGGGAGCGGGGCUGCCCGGCCCUUCCUCGGGGGCUGCCCGGCUCUUGACGAGCUCCGCGGCGGGGCUGGGUCGGGGGCUGCGGGGCGCCGUGGGGACGGAUCCGCAAAGCUGGCAGGACUCGGCAGUGGGGAUGUUUGGUCUGAGGACGAGCUGAGGAGGGAAGCAGUUUGUAAACGAGUGGAAUUAGAGUGAGGAAAUUCUGCAACGCGAAGCUGGGAGACUGCAUCGACAGAAGGGAGGCUUGGAACAUCCAUGUGCCAACAAGAUGAAGUAAAGCAAAGAUUAAUGGGAUUUGGUGAUGCAAAUAGAAGGCAGUGGUGAUCUCUGCAAGUAGAGCUCCCCGGCUUGGCAGCGAAUUAGGGGUCGGAGCGGUAGGCAGCAGGAUGGCGGCAUGCUGCUGCUGUGAGGGGGCUCAGAAAGUACGUGAGUGAAAAGGCCGUCCUCUGGAACUGCUACGGGAGGGCCUCCGCUGGCUGUGCAAAAUACUGAUGUCAGAUUGCAUGGCUGCCUGAGACCGUAUCCUUAUCUGCGGCCCAACUGAUUGCCCACACUCAGAUAAACGGUUCUGAACAGACGCAGAAUAGGGCUGUGGAUGUUAAGAGGAAUGAAGAGUCUGCGUGCUGGGAGACACAACAGUUGGAAGUUGUGCGUUUUUUAUGUAUGGGAGGAAAGGAACUUGCAAGCUCGAGGUUAGCAGAAGCAAGCUAAAAAAAAGUGAGCACAGUUUACUGGAAAUGGCAAGAAAAGUUCUCACUGUUGUUCUGUAAAUGCUCUGGAGAGGUUUCAAAUGGGCAGGAAAACUGAAUUGCUUUUAAAAUAAAGUUUGAAAAAAUCAGAAAAGAUGAGUGUGUGGUUCUGCAGAGCAGUGGGGAGUUUGGCUCAGGAAUGCUGGAUGUCCCAUCUGUUAGUUCAGUGCUCUCGUGACCCGGCAAAAUGGACUAUGAGAUGGAUGAGUACUUCUGCAGUGGGCCCAUUGUGGUACGGCUGUUGUCGUCAUGCUUUCCUUUUCCAUUAUUCAAGUUCUUUUUCUUUGGGAUCCUUACCAGAAGCAGAGUAGUUCAAUUAUAUUCACUACCAGAUGCCUCUCGUGUGUAUGUUCGGCAGUACGCUAACAGAAAGGAAGCUGUGUUCUUUACCUUGCUCACUUCACCGUGUGAAGUCUCUGUACAUUUCCACUCUUAUAUAUGGAAUAACUGUCGAGGUGUACUCACACAGCUCUGCAGGACUUUCUGUCCCCGGGUGUGCUAUUCGUAGAAGUCCUCGUGGAACAAUUUUUAGGAAAAUAUUUAAAUGAAAAACUUGAAGUCAUCUGGGGCAAGGCAAUAUUGCAUUCAUGAAUGUAUGUAUAAUCAGCUCCCUUGGGAUGUUACCUGAGACUUAUAUCUAUUUUCUGCUUUUAUUUUUAGAGUCUGUGGUUUUCACGUACCACGCUUAGUGCAGCACCAACAGAUUAACAGAAGAACCUUGAAAUUGCAGAAUGUUGCUCCUCACACCAAGGCUGCCAUGGUCCAGGCAGACAUUUUAGAUUCUUACCUGGCACCAUUGCUAUCUGGGGUAUCUCCACAACACAGGAAAUUAAACGAUCAUUGCUCAGCCAUCGUUUUUCAUUUUAUCUGCUAGUCCACAACUGACCCAGGUUAUUCAGAGAGAAGAAAAAAAUGUUUUAUGGAGGUAGCAUCCCAUUCAGUGGUCAGUAGAAAACUAAGUGAGCGAAUCGCUCUCUUCAUCAACGCAUGCGUUAAGUGCUUCCAGUGGCUCUUCUUCUAGUUGCUGAAACCGAGUAGUGAAUGGAUUAUAGGGAUUAAACUUCUUUCAUUCCCCUAGAGGUGAGCAAGUCAUGUGAAAAUGAAAGGCUUAUUUGGUAGAAGACAGUAUGAAAGACUGGGAAUACAAAAAUAUAUAUGUAUUAUCUCUAAAUGGCUUCUUGCACACUUUGUCUAUAAUAGAUGGUAGUAUGUGAGCUGCAGACAGAAACUUGAGGCUCGCAGGGCAGAAAUGUGACUGUGAACUGAAUCUACGAGUAUGGAAUGAAACAUGCUUGGUCAUUAUUGAAACUGGAUUUCUGAAACAUUUUUCUUUCAUCAUAAAUCUGAUAUUUCUGAAGAAAAACAUACCUGUUCUUAGCAUAUGCUUUCUCUUUUUCUUCUCUUGACCUAUUUGAAUUAGGAGGAAGUUGCCUUUCCCACUGUAGUGCUGGGAACACAGUAUAAGGGCUACAGCAAAGGAAUAUUUUCUGUCUUGAAGUGCUCAGGUCAUCCUGCAAGGCAUUCCGCUGCAAAAGGAGUCACUUUCACCGGUGUCACCAGUUACUGUCGUCCUCUUAUGCUGAUGUUUCCAGAGGGGUGGCGUUUCAUACCCCCUGAAUAGGUGGCCUUCUACAUGGGAGCGUUAUUCUGGUGUCUUUUGUCUCUUAUGUAGUUUACUUCCUCAUGUUCCGAGAAUGAAAAACAGUCAAAGGAGAGGAAACGAUAGACUAGCUCCCUUAGAAGAGCCUCUCCUAGGAAAAAAUAGCUCAGAACCCCUAAAAUGAUCAUACAGUUGGUAGAAAAGCUGCUGGAUGUUGUCGUUAUAGCAGCAUCUACAGGAAUAGAAAUAGCAAGAAGAGAAGAGGAAGGCUGGCAUUCCCUCGCUCUCUCUCCAACUUGUGAAAAUUUUAGGAAGGAAAUUUACAUAUUUUGGAGCUACAUUUUCUGCAGUGCCUUCUUAUGCAGAAGGAAAGUUAAUCAAGCUAUCUUAUUAGAUAAAAGUAUUUUCUGUACUUGUUUCAGAGAGGUGGUGGUCGUUUCUGUGGAAGGGGUUCAAAUGAUUAGCACCAUUCUUAACUGUUGUAUUCAGGGAGAUGACAGCUUGAUUUAAACUAUGAAGGUGUGAUGAGUUUUGCUCUCCCACCGUCAUGCACAAAGAAGCACUCAGAGAGGACAGACUUAACUGGUUUGAGCCAGGCAGCGGUCUGCUACCAUAAAUUCCCCAACAUUGUAUUGCCCUCUGAUGCUUCAGUUACAAUCCCUGAAUGGAAGACUGGAGCAUGUGGUUGUCUUUUUGGCAUCUGAAGCUGAGGCUGCCGAGUUGCCUGCCUGGGACAUUAGUGAGACUAUCUGCCUCUUAAGGAUACGCAACAGAUUUUCUCUUAGCUCCUGUCCCUACUAGUGCUCUUCUUAGCUUCUGUCCCUACUAGUGCUCUACUUAACUCUGUGCCAAGACACUGGCAGCGGUCAAUACAGAAAAACUUCUGGAAGUACCAGGUUGUGGCAGGGCACCAGAACCAUCCAGCAUGUGAAUGUUUGAGGAGGCGCUGGAGGAACAAGGACUUCCCUAAAGGAUGUGACAGCAAAGCUACUCCACUGGAAUAUGGAAGAAGGGAAGCAGUUAUGUGGAAGAGAUGAAGUGCCGUGUGAUUCCUGUCCCACGGAUAGGAUCCAGCUGGUGCUAGACAAAGUCUGUCAGUGACAGCACUUGGAUUGGAUGGAGUUGGGCCACCUUCCAUGCGAUGGAGCAACGUAGCUAAGCUGUAGGUUGCCUUAUGCUUGCAACACUGCAACCCCGAGGAAGUCUGCAUCUGCAGAGAUCUGCCUUCAUGCCUGGACUGAUAAGCGACGCUGGGGAAGCGUCUUGGCCAGAUGCUGCUGCAGUAUCCCGCCUCCUCAUCGCAUCGCCCUCUGGAAGACAGAAGUGACGAUCAGCAGCGUGGUGUUGUCCUGCAGGCAGCUGAAGAACCACUUUGACAGCAAGCAGGAGAACAACUAUGCAGUGUAAUCACAGCCUGUCUGUGCUCUUUCUAACAGUGUACAUGAGCACCCUAUUCCCAGCGAGGGGAUGCUGUAACCUCCCCCUGCUGACCUGUAUUCUUCUCCGUUACUGUAACCAAGCUGUUUCUUUCCCACGGCCACGCGUUCCUGCAGAUAUACCAAGGGUUCCCAUGCAGAUAGGUUUACAAAUUCAGGAAGGGCUUGGACAGAGCAAAAGGAGAAUGAAGUAAUUCCCAAAUAUUUGCACUGUGGCUGAUGAAAUUAGCAGGAGAGCUGAGUGGGUGUAUAGGGGUCUGCUGGGGGACGGAUGGAAGGAAACCUGGGGACAAACUGUCUGCUGUUCGACGUGCUCUGAGUGCUGUGUGAUAAAGGUGAAUCACCCAGCUUAGCUGCAGGUGAGCCAGCAGGACAGUGGCUGGGGCCGAGUCCCACUGCAGCCUGUGUGGGGGCUGUGUGCUGGGUCCGGUGGGCUUUGAAUCCCACCACAAAGACAGUGGCUGUCGACAAGGUCACGAACGCAGAGCUUCGCCUUCUGUUGAUUAUGUGGUUGUCAGUGGAAGAAUUACUGUGUAUCUAUGGGAAAUGUUAAAAAACAACAACGCCUUUUUUUCUUGAAUAAAUCUGUGAAACGAA